CAUUAAUUAAUAGCAAUUAUGAUUCAGAACUCCAUAAUUUAUUUCUUCAUUGAUGCGGUACAUCUAUGAGUCAUAAAUCAAUCUUUGAUGGAUUAGAAUACCCAGAAAUUGAAUUGGUUGUGAUUCUUCUUGUAAGUAUGUCUAUAUUGAAAUACCUUAAUGAACAAAAUAUGACUAGCUAAAAGUGGUUCUAAAAGUGGUUAUAGUUUAUUGUUAAUGGUAAAGAG
Molecule: unclassified non-coding RNA, 227 nt
Filed under: Hevea brasiliensis (rubber tree)
Lineage: Eukaryota; Viridiplantae; Streptophyta; Magnoliopsida; Malpighiales; Euphorbiaceae
Source: RNAcentral